RNAcentral lists this ribosomal RNA (471 nucleotides) under uncultured bacterium. Its description in RNAcentral is "bacterial SSU rRNA". It matches the Rfam family "Bacterial small subunit ribosomal RNA", at positions 29 to 506 of the family's 1533-position model. The record is from RNAcentral.
ACGAACGUUGGCGGCGUGUCUAAGGCAUGCAAGUCGAGCGGAUCGCCGGUCGUAGCAAUACGGUCGGCGGUCAGCGGCAAACGGGUGCGUAACACAUUGGUAAUCUGCCUCGAAGUCGGGCACAACUCGCCGAAAGGUGAGCUAAUUCCACGAUGGAGAUGAGGGGACGGAAGUCAUUCUCAUCUAAAGUCGCCAGACGCUUCGAGAGGAACCUAUGGCCUAUCAGCUUGUUGGCGGGGUAACGGCCCACCAAGGCUAUGACGGGUAUGGGGUGUGAGAGCAUGACCCCACUCACUGGGACUGAGACACUGCCCAGACACCUACGGGUGGCUGCAGUCGAGAAUAUUCCCCAAUGGCCGAAAGGCUGAGGGAGCGACGCCGCGUGCGGGACGAAGGGCUUCGGCUCGUAAACCGCUUUUCCCAGGGAAGAACACUGACGGUACCUGGGGAAUAAGAGGUUGCUAACUCUGU